AGUUUUGAAAGACUUUUUGUUUUCUCCUAUAAUAUAAGUGCUGGUUUUCCAGCUAUGACGCUAAACGUUGGUGCGGAAUAGACGUUGUGGACCCGGGGGCAGUACCCGGCGGCUCCACCACUUGCGAAGGGAUUUUCUUCUUCUCAGGCGGCGGGGCCGACACAGGAUCGACACGCGCAGUAAAGGUGCUUUUACGGUGUCCGGCAUGAUAACCGCCGUUAUCGGGUCAAUAUCAUAAAUGCAAACGAUAACUUUGCGUUCGUAGCCGCUAACGACAACUCUGUUGUUGAAGGUGAAGGUCGUAUCGCUGCUUAAUUGAGCAGUUUCGACGCUACAUUGAAUUCCUGAUGGUUUAACGACCUCGGGUGGGGCGUGCCGGCUGCCUCGCAACAGAAGUGCCGGCAUU
RNAcentral lists this transfer-messenger RNA (406 nucleotides) under Alphaproteobacteria bacterium. It matches the Rfam family "Alphaproteobacteria transfer-messenger RNA". From Rfam's summary of the family: Bacterial tmRNA, also known as 10Sa RNA or SsrA, is named for its dual tRNA and mRNA-like properties. Its role is to liberate the mRNA from a stalled ribosome. To accomplish this part of the tmRNA is used as a reading frame that ends in a translation stop signal. The record is from RNAcentral. Lineage: Bacteria; Pseudomonadati; Pseudomonadota; Alphaproteobacteria.